GGGUUAUCCCAACAAAUCUUGGCUCUUGACCCCAUUGUCUAAUCCUGUUGGUGAAGCAGAAAAACGUUACCAAGAGACACACAAAGCAUCGAGGGGAGUAAUUGAGCGUGCCUUCGGUGUACUUAAAAGCCAGUUUAGAUGUUUAGACACUUCCGGUGGUGCUCUUUUGUACUCACCGGCGAAGGUUUGCGGCAUGGUAAAUGCAUGUUGUAUUUUACACAACAUAUGUGUCGCAAACCGUUUGCCGGUGACUCUUCGUCGCAGGGAUUUCCGACGCGGGAACCGUUCUUCUGCUCCACCGGUGGGUAUGGACGAAGGAGAAGAUUCUCGACGGACAUUGAUCCAAAGCUUUUUUUCCACUGCCUAGUUUUACGUCCUGUUGACGCACCUUCCCAGUAAUGUUUUCAAUGUUUCGUCCUGUUGACGACCUGUUACCCCCUGUUUUUUCCUGUUGUUGGGUUGCCGCAAAUAUUGGACCCGUUUAUCCCACUCUACCAUGGGCGACCUACUUGUGAUGUGGACCAGAACCUCCGCCAUGUGGCAGACAAACCCCCUCAGGUCUUGCGGGGUAUCCUUCCCAAGUUGCGUGGAUGUGAAGGGACACGACUGUUCCCCUGAUGAACCAUGGGCGACCUACUUGUGAUGUGGACCUGAACCUCCGCCAUGUGGCAGACAACCCCCCUCAGGUCUUGCGGAGUAUCCUUCCCAAGUUGCGUGGAUGUGAAGGGACACGACUGUUCCCCUGAUGUACCAUGGGCGACCUACUUGUGAUGUGGACCUGAACCUCCGCCAUGUAGCAGACAACCCCCC
Molecule: long non-coding RNA, 810 nt
Organism: Pseudophryne corroboree (corroboree frog)
Lineage: Eukaryota; Metazoa; Chordata; Amphibia; Anura; Myobatrachidae
Exons: 4
Source: RefSeq, a predicted model, not a curated record